GUGGGGAAUUUUGGACAAUGGGCGCAAGCCUGAUCCAGCAAUGCCGCGUGCAGGAAGAAGGCUUUCGGGUUGUAAACUGCUUUUGUACGGAACGAAACGGCUCUGGUUAAUACCCGGGGCUAAUGACGGUACCGUAAGAAUAAGCACCGGCUAACUACGUGCCAGCAGCCGCGGUAAUACGUAGGGUGCAAGCGUUAAUCGGAAUUACUGGGCGUAAAGCGUGCGCAGGCGGUUUUGUAAGACAGGCGUGAAAUCCCCGGGCUCAACCUGGGAAUGGCGCUUGUGACUGCAAAGCUGGAGUGCGGCAGAGGGGGAUGGAAUUCCGCGUGUAGCAGUGAAAUGCGUAGAUAUGCGGAGGAACACCGAUGGCGAAGGCAAUCCCCUGGGCCUGCACUGACGCUCAUGCACGAAAGCGUGGGGAGCAAACAGGAUUAGAAACCCGGGUAGUCC
Molecule: ribosomal RNA, 450 nt
Filed under: uncultured bacterium
Lineage: Bacteria
Description: partial 16S ribosomal RNA
Rfam family: Bacterial small subunit ribosomal RNA
Source: RNAcentral